This 525-nucleotide long non-coding RNA is filed under the name Monodelphis domestica (gray short-tailed opossum). Its description in RNAcentral is "lncRNA (ENSMODG00000038430.1)". The record is from RNAcentral. Lineage: Eukaryota; Metazoa; Chordata; Mammalia; Didelphimorphia; Didelphidae.
UCUUUCAACAGAUCUCCCUUUAAAAAAAUUAUAAACUUGAUGUUUAAUACAGUGUAUAGAAUACAGUAAGUAUGUUAAAAGGUUUUUUUUAAUUCAAUAAUCAAUCAAUUAAUGGAUCCAUGCAUUGGAGUAGGCAGUUAGGUAACUUAGUGAAUCACUAAUCCUGAAGUCAGAAAGAUCUGAAUUCAAAUUUGGCCUCAGACAUUUACUAGCUAUGUAACUUUGGGCAAGUCACUUAACCUCUGUUUGCCUUCAUCAGUUGGAGAAGAAAAUGGCAAACCACUCCAUUAUCUACUCCAAGAAAACCACAUGUACAGCAUGAUCCAUAAAGUCAUGAAGAGUUGAACAGGACUGAUUGAAUGAACAACAAUGUGUAAUGAUGACUAUCUUGGCAAACACUGUCUAAUGGCCAGCAAUUGAUACAUGACUCAAGGAGGACAUGAAUUCAGCUCCACUGGAAUCUUGGUCUCCAUCUAUCGGAUAUAAGACUCUGGGAGGUAAGUUUUUCACUGUGUUUGCCAUCAG